RNAcentral lists this non-coding RNA (27 nucleotides) under Rattus norvegicus (Norway rat). Lineage: Eukaryota; Metazoa; Chordata; Mammalia; Rodentia; Muridae. The record is from RNAcentral.
UCCCUUUCGCAGACAAAGUGACAAGGU